UGAGGAAUAUUGGACAAUGGGUGAAAGCCUGAUCCAGCCAUCCCGCGUGAAGGACGACUGCCCUAUGGGUUGUAAACUUCUUUUGUAUAGGGAUAAACCUACCCUCGUGAGGGUAGCUGAAGGUACUAUACGAAUAAGCACCGGCUAACUCCGUGCCAGCAGCCGCGGUAAUACGGAGGGUGCAAGCGUUAUCCGGAUUUAUUGGGUUUAAAGGGUCCGUAGGCGGACUUAUAAGUCAGUGGUGAAAGCCUGUCGCUUAACGAUAGAACUGCCAUUGAUACUGUAAGUCUUGAGUAUAUUUGAGGUAGCUGGAAUAAGUAGUGUAGCGGUGAAAUGCAUAGAUAUUACUUAGAACACCAAUUGCGAAGGCAGGUUACCAAGAUAUAACUGACGCUGAGGGACGAAAGCGUGGGGAGCGAACA
This 422-nucleotide ribosomal RNA is filed under the name uncultured Cloacibacterium sp. RNAcentral's name for it is "partial 16S ribosomal RNA". It matches the Rfam family "Bacterial small subunit ribosomal RNA", at positions 355 to 774 of the family's 1533-position model. Lineage: Bacteria; Pseudomonadati; Bacteroidota; Flavobacteriia; Flavobacteriales; Weeksellaceae. The record is from RNAcentral.